UUUUUUUAAUUGCUUGUUUUUGUUUAAAUCUGUUUUUUGUUUUCGAAGAUAGCAUGCGUGUUGCCUGGGUCACUAACCAUCUUGUUGCCUUUACCUAUGUUCUCAGCAACUUCUAUAUCUGUACAAUGCUGCUACAGAUGCUAGUAACAAAAACAUGCCGCACCUAGCAGGCAGUUCGAGAAUGAAAGUACUAAUGUGUUUUUAUUCAUAAUUUGAUAAACUUGCAGUUUAAUUUCAUGUUUUGUUUGCUGAUUUACCUUCAGCAAAUACCUGCACAUUUUUAUAUUUUCAAUUUAUACAUGAAGUGUAACUUACAGACCUGUCCUCAUUAUUAAAGGUUUUCUCUGCAAGUCUUGUUAGUUUUGAAGUGUUUUACACUAUAUUUCCAAGUACUCUCCCUCUUUACUUAAUUUAUUAUAAGAGUAACCAAGAGGCACUUUUAAUACACAGAGGAUGUGCUGCAGAAUGCAGAUGCUGAUCUUACGUUAACAGCAGUCACAAGUUUAUUCAUAAACCACACAAUUCCAAGCCUCUGCAGUGAAAAAAAAUACGUUUUGCUGCUUUUUAACCAAAUCUGGCACACGUGGAAACAACAAAUAAAAUAUUCAUAAUUUUUUAGUGUUUUCAAAAUUCCAAUGCAAGCCUACUGUAAAUGUUUUUCUAGUGAACAUUGUAAGUGCAAUCAAGAGACUGUUGUCAGGAUAGGAACAUAGGAACAUGCUGAACAGUGUCUCUACCUGUUUAUCUUCACAAUAUUAUUUUCUUCGCAUUAUUCUUUUUUCUGUCUGCAGUGGUUUUUCUCUACUUUCUGAACUCUUGUUCUGUUAGGAGCUGUCUGACGGGUAGUUUUACUGCUUGGUUGUUUUCUGUUUCGUUGUUGCUUAGCGUACUAUUAACAGAGACAAGCUUUUCACUUUUGCUACUAACCCUCACAGAUUUCCAAUAGUGGUGGUGAAACUGGUCAUUUGAGAAAGUUCUGAGCAGCAGCAUAACUGGUAUGCAGGAGGCAUAGGACCAGGAAGACUACCCAGAGAACUGGUUUGCGCAGUAAAAUUAGAACUUCAUAAAAUGCAACAGCAGCUUCUGCUGAAGGUGAUAGCUGCUGACACAAUAUUCCAUUUUCCUUUGGGGAUAUGGAUUAAUGUAGAUGUUCUUAAUAUUUCUCUCCCUUGUUGAGAAAGAUUCCAUUUACUACUUGUUAGAUGUCAGGUGCAAUGGUAAUGAACUAAAAAAAACUUGUUGGAUAGAGGCAAGCUGUGCAGGAGCAUGUACUGGGCUUGGCUGCUACUCUGACUAAAUUUCUAUGGAAAGGCAGAGGUACUUUUUGUUUUCAUCAUGGGUGUUUUUUGUUUGUUUGUUUUUAUUCAUUUGUUGUCUUUUGGUUGGUUGGAUUUGUUUGGUCAGAUUUUCCAAAUGCAUCACUGAGGCUGCCAAGAUGGAUUCACUUUGAAAGUGAUAGUUAUUUAGAAUCUUGUUGACUUACCAAGAAACGCUGAUGCUUCAAUUUCUUCAUGUCUUGCUGCUUUCUUA
Long non-coding RNA from Oxyura jamaicensis (ruddy duck), 1530 nucleotides. RefSeq lists it as uncharacterized. The transcript is spliced from 2 exons. The record is from RefSeq and is a predicted model, not a curated record. Lineage: Eukaryota; Metazoa; Chordata; Aves; Anseriformes; Anatidae.